AACGCAAAUUCACAGCCAAUCGCAGUACAUACAGUAUCCCAUUGAGGUUGAACCCCUUCGGGGCGUUCUUGACCCAUGACAUAUGUGGAUGUGUAUUGCAACAUUUUAUGUUUUUUUUAAAGCUUGGACUGGAGACUAAACGUCACAUCUAUUGAUCUUGGGUGCAACGGUCCAUCAGUUGUCUGCUCUCGUGGCAGAUCUAAAGGACUGCCUUCGUGCGCCUGUAUGGGGACGGUUGCAAGGAUCAAUAGAACAUCC
This 258-nucleotide small nucleolar RNA is filed under the name Maudiozyma saulgeensis. The record is from RNAcentral. Lineage: Eukaryota; Fungi; Ascomycota; Saccharomycetes; Saccharomycetales; Saccharomycetaceae.